CAUCGACACCACACCACACUGAACACUCUGUCUUCUCUGAUCCCCAAAGCUAAGCAGGGUAAAGCCUGGGUAGUACUUGGAUGGGAGAUGAUAUGACUCCACCUGGAACUCAGGUCAUUUCCUGC
RNAcentral lists this ribosomal RNA (125 nucleotides) under Octodon degus (degu). Lineage: Eukaryota; Metazoa; Chordata; Mammalia; Rodentia; Octodontidae. The record is from RNAcentral.